Molecule: long non-coding RNA, 2906 nt
Organism: Sorghum bicolor (sorghum)
Lineage: Eukaryota; Viridiplantae; Streptophyta; Magnoliopsida; Poales; Poaceae
Exons: 3
Source: RefSeq, a predicted model, not a curated record
CUCUUACACAGCCGAUCGAGGACAUGCAUGGCAGACGCUUCUAUCUCUCCUACUUAAAACAUGUAUCCAAGACCCGUCUACCACACUCACAUGGUGAAGCCUCGCUGAACCCGCGCCUCACUCCUUACCCUCCCCAAUCAGAGCUCGUGCCUGUCCUCCCCUCCUCCCCACGCACCCCGACCCCAUCCCCUCCUCUGCUUAGCGCUCGCCUGUCCCCUCUGCUGCUGCGCGUGCUCGCGAGGGUGCGUGGUGCGCCGCCACUGCCUCGCGCUCCAGGAGCCGCCGAAGGGCCUGGUGCUGGCUGAGGUGUCCGCGCACGCCCGCCCACGCCCGCGCUCGCCUCCACUCCAACGACGGCGGCUGUGAUGACGACUGGGCUCGCCAACGACCGAGUCCCAUCAGCGACGAUCCCCACCGCGCCAACACCGAGGCCGAGCCCCUGCGCCAACGACGAGCCCUCCCCUGCAUCGCUAGAUCUUCAUCGGGCCUUCACCGGCGUCGAAGCCCGGCGGCAGCGAAGCCAACAGUGUGCUCGUGCGUCCGUUCCCCCGAUCCAGCUCGUGUCUUCGUCGCCGGUGUAGCUGUGCCGCCAAAUCAGGCUCUUGCCGCACUUUCCCCAUCUGCUCCUGUGAGGAGCACCACCAGGUUUUGGUUACGAUGCCAGAAAGAACUGGGAAACUGGCGAGUCGCCCACUCUCUGGAGGCUCUGACUGCUUUUAAGGUUUUUCUUGCUUGCCAAUUUACAUCUACUGAUGUCUAUUACAUAGAGCUGGCUUCAAUCAAACAAAUUAGCAAACUGAUGUAAGAAACCAACAGAAAUAUAUCUAGGUUAACAAAACAAGAAUUAUCUGUAGGCUAACAAAAUAAAUAGCUUAUCUCCUAAGCGACACGCCACUGCACUCUUGCCGCAUGGCAGAUAAUUGCUUAGAACUUUGAAACCCUGAACUCUUGAAUCAUAACUCUGAAGAUAGAGAAAAAGAGGAAAGUGAUGCUGCAGGUGGAGUAUCAAGCAGUGCUUUAAUCAAACAUGAAAAACUACAAAGUUUGUAAUGUCAAGUAGCUAGCACGCUUCUUCAGCACAGCUAUCUUAAUUGGUUCGAGUUUAGGUAUAUUUGUAGCACCCAUGCUGAGAUAUAUCAACAGCUAUCUUAAUUGCUUGUGCAUCCAUUGUCAUCUGCCAGAUAAUGAUCCAUUUGCUUUGUCAGCUGCCAGAUAAUGAUCCAUAAUCACUAAAGAUAACAGCUGCCAAAUAAUGAUCCAUUUUCAGGAGCGAAGGCUUCUUGCAAAAUAAUCUAACCCUAAAUCGGCAGACACUGAGUCUAUUAUUUCUCUAAAGCUUGGAAUGCUUGACUCAUCAUUUGCAUAUGUCCAUAACAAAGAGCUCCUAGGAGUACAUACCUGAGAAUUUGUUACAGUUUUGACAAUUUGUUUGGUUACUGUCUGAUAAGGACUGCUAAGCGUCCCUGCAGCCACCUUUUCAAAGUGCCUAAUGCAAAAUCUCUGACGGUAAUGACAACCAUGCCACUGGAAAUCUUUUUAGUGGUUCAAAGAUAUUCUGUAAUUUGCAUUUCAGCCAACCUGUGCCUAAGAUAUAAUAGUUUAAUUAGUUUGGUUGGGAAUAAACUAAAACAUGCUAUAGGUAAGCCCAAGCAUAGUGCCCCCAUAGGAUUAGCAAUUCUUCCACUAUGUUCUGGUGGCAGUGAAAUUGAUGCUUGCUUUGAAAUGUUAAAAAGAAUACCUGAUCAAGUGUUAGAUUUCUGAACAUGGAAACAUUUGAGUACUCAGAGGAAUACAUAAAAGUCUGAACAUUUUGAGUCCUCAGAGGAAUACAUAAUUACAUAGAAGUUUGAACAUUUUGAGUUCUUAGAGGAAUAUACAUAGAAGUCUGAACAUGCAAGUGUUAGAUUUGUCUAAAUUAGCUUACUGAAUUAAAGGUUCCCAAAUUUUCUACUAGGUCCUAAAUUAUGGGUUCCUAAUUACAGAAUUCCUAUUUCCUAGGAUCACCAACAAAAAUAAGUCACGUGAUUGCUGACAACAAAAUCUUAGAUAUACGAAACUGAGCCUAAACUGGAACAAUAGAUGAGUUAUAGUAGUACAAUUUGUUUUGAUUUAUGUUCAGGAUAGAAAAAAUUUCAUGAUGCAAAAAAUGCAGGAGUCUAUCUUAUUAUGUCAGUGAUUCUCUUGCCCAUCAUGGUAUUGAUUUCUGUUGCCAUUGCUUGUACUGCCAACAUUCAUACUUGGGAAUUAACAGCUAAAAUUUUGAUGCACUAUAAAACUUGACACACUUGCACUUAUAGGAUGGUAGUUGCGGCCCUUGAAGGCAAGUUCUUUUGAUGGAUAACUAUCAAUCAGCAUCUCCUACUUUGGCUGCUCUAAUAGAACCAGGUCUACAGCAGAGAAAAUUUUGAUUUCUCGCAGUGCCACCUUCUCCUAUGCAUGACAAUGUAAUUGUUGUGUUCAUGCAAGGAUUGACAACAAGACACUAUCAAUGCUAUUUGCUUUGUUCAGAUGAUAAACUACAGGCCAGUGACAUAAUCAUAGUUGGAUGUGGAAUUAUAAAGGCAAGUGAUACUUUGAAGACUGCAUGGGAGUACUACCACUUGCAAGUUGCAAGGGUUAGGACUUAGGACUCAACCGCGGAGGAGACUUUUCACUGCAUGCGCGCCAUCAUUAUUUGUGUUAAGUUACAAUAAUUCCUUCUCGGUUCACUUUGUUGUUGUUUGAGUUGGGCAUUGUGAUACUGGUGUUGGGUUAUAUAUUGUAUUAUUGCCCCUUGAGCUCCAGACUCUCAAGCACCAUCACGCUCGAAGUAUUAUUAUUUUUAUAACAGUACACCACACAUUCAUAUUCAUAUUAUCAUGGCAUUACAUCUUCCUGAGCAUUUCGACAAUGCUGCAUUUUGUUGA